CUUGUAUUCUGACAAUUCUGUCAUCUUCAUGGCACUUAAAUUAUGUUUUUCCUUUAGACCAUUCCAGGAGCACAUUGAGACUUCAUGUUGGCAGGUUGGGGGUGGUGGUGCCUUGGAAGCUAUGACCAGGCAAGUUGGAGAUGGAGACGGAGUUGGGGCCAGGCUUUGGUUUUGGCAAAGCUGUUCAGCAAAGGCAGGUGGAAGCAAAACCAGAGAAGAGGGAGCACUCAGUCUUCCAAACUAGACCACAUAGGUCCAUUUUCCAGGGCAGAUGGAACAAAUACAGUGAAUCUAUGGAGCACAGCAAUUGUCAAUUUCUGUACCUCUCAGCAUCUCCCCAACCUCCUGGCUCAUCCUCCAACUGCCUAUAGGCCAGUGCUUCCCAAAGUAUGAGCCACAACUGAGCAGCUUCAGCACCACCUGGGAGCUUGUGAGAAAUGCAGACUCUCGGGCCCCGCCCCAGUCCUGUGCGAUCCCAGGUAGUUCACAUGCACACGUGUGCCUGAGAAGCCCUGUUGUGAGCCCGGUUUGCCCUGCAGCUGUGUUUUCCCUUCUUCCUGACAGUCAUCGGGAGCACCUCCAACACAGCCUGGUCACAAGAGGUGGUGCCUGACAUCUCCCGGUGUCUCCUCUCGAGCUGAGAUGCUUUGGCUGAGCAGGGCUGUCCUUGGGCAGAGGAGCCAAUUAGUAAAAGGAGAGGCUUCAAAGAGGCCUAACCGGCCUGAGUAAAAGCCCGAGGUCAAUUACAAACACCUAACAGUCCCUGGCUGGAACAAUCUAUUGCUUCACCUACAGGUUAGGAAGAUACCCAAGAAAACUACGCUUAGAUGUGCUGUGACUUUCCUGCUUUUAUUCCAAGGAAGGGCUUGGCUCCCAGACUUCCUUUCUGUAGGAACUCUUGAAAUGUCACUUUCCACUCUACCUUUAAAGUAAGUUCCAGGCUUGGCUGAAAUUGUCUGAUUUAUCAUCCUUCAAUUGAAGUGCACCACCCUCCCUCCAGUUUG
Molecule: long non-coding RNA, 1004 nt
Filed under: Camelus dromedarius (Arabian camel)
Lineage: Eukaryota; Metazoa; Chordata; Mammalia; Artiodactyla; Camelidae
Description: lncRNA (ENSCDRG00005010883.1)
Source: RNAcentral